RNAcentral lists this unclassified non-coding RNA (204 nucleotides) under Limosilactobacillus frumenti. RNAcentral's name for it is "Lactobacillus frumenti 16S-23S ribosomal RNA small intergenic spacer". Lineage: Bacteria; Bacillati; Bacillota; Bacilli; Lactobacillales; Lactobacillaceae. The record is from RNAcentral.
CUAAGGAAUAAAACGGAAACCUACACAUAGUUGAAACUUUGUUUAGUUUUGAGGGGUUUACCCUCAGAGCUUGUACUUUGAAAACUAAAUAAUAUCAUUUUUCUUUAUUUAACAAAACAAACCGAGAACACCGCGUUAUUUUGAGUUGUUUAAUGAAGAUAAUCGCUAACUCAAUUAAUCCGAUGAUCACUUAGUGAUCAUCAA